This 225-nucleotide long non-coding RNA is filed under the name Dasypus novemcinctus (nine-banded armadillo). Its description in RNAcentral is "lncRNA (ENSDNOG00000052892.1)". Lineage: Eukaryota; Metazoa; Chordata; Mammalia; Cingulata; Dasypodidae. The record is from RNAcentral.
GGCAGCCCUCAAUGGACCAUCUGCUUCGCCCAGCUCGGUCACCUGGUAGGAUUCAAGGGCCAUCAGAUUCAACCUGGCAGCCACGCACUUGGAAACUUGCCAUCUAUUUGUCACUAUUGAUUUUCAUCUUGACUUCAGAGCAUAAUGCCUGUUUCUUGGAUCAAUAUGGGUGCAAGGAGACUGAAGAUAAAGGCUGCCUUAUUUCUGAGUGUAAGACAUCAGCAC